This 490-nucleotide ribosomal RNA is filed under the name uncultured bacterium. RNAcentral describes it as "partial 16S ribosomal RNA". It matches the Rfam family "Bacterial small subunit ribosomal RNA", at positions 30 to 507 of the family's 1533-position model. The record is from RNAcentral.
AUUGAACGCUGGCGGCAGGCCUAACACAUGCAAGUCGAACGGUAACAGAAAGCAGCUUGCUGCUUUGCUGACGAGUGGCGGACGGGUGAGUAAUGUCUGGGAAACUGCCUGAUGGAGGGGGAUAACUACUGGAAACGGUAGCUAAUACCGCAUAACGUCGCAAGACCAAAGAGGGGGACCUUCGGGCCUCUUGCCAUCGGAUGUGCCCAGAUGGGAUUAGCUAGUAGGUGGGGUAACGGCUCACCUAGGCGACGAUCCCUAGCUGGUCUGAGAGGAUGACCAGCCACACUGGAACUGAGACACGGUCCAGACUCCUACGGGAGGCAGCAGUGGGGAAUAUUGCAUAAAGGGCGCAAGCCUGAUGCAGCCAUGCCGCGUGUAUGAAGAAGGCCUUCGGGUUGUAAAGUACUUUCAGCGGGGAGGAAGGGAGUAAAGUUAAUACCUUUGCUCAUUGACGUUACCCGCAGAAGAAGCACCGGCUAACUCCGUG